GUCCACACCGUAAACGUUGGAUACUAGUUUUCGUGAGAAUGAUCAUGAGAGACCAAGGGAAACCGAUAAGUAUCCCACCUGGGGAGUACGCUCGCAAGGGUGAAACUCAAAGUAAUUGACGGGGGCCCGCACAAGCGGUGGAGCAUGUGGUUUAAUUCGAUGAUACGCGAGGAACCUUACCUGGGCUAGAAUGCCCCUUGACCGCAUCCGAAAGGAUGUUUUCCUUCGGGGACAAGGUGCAAGGUGCUGCAUGGUUGUCGU
RNAcentral lists this ribosomal RNA (261 nucleotides) under uncultured bacterium. RNAcentral's name for it is "partial 16S ribosomal RNA". It matches the Rfam family "Bacterial small subunit ribosomal RNA", at positions 793 to 1055 of the family's 1533-position model. The record is from RNAcentral.